RNAcentral lists this non-coding RNA (995 nucleotides) under Sphaeroforma arctica JP610. RNAcentral's name for it is "Eukaryotic small subunit ribosomal RNA". It matches the Rfam family "Eukaryotic small subunit ribosomal RNA", at positions 625 to 1831 of the family's 1831-position model. Lineage: Eukaryota; Ichthyosporea; Ichthyophonida. The record is from Rfam by way of RNAcentral.
GGCUCGAUAGGUACCGACGAUGAGCUAUUGCCUGAUCCUGUUGCAGAUUUAAAACUUGCCCAUUCGAGUGGUCAAACUUUAAAGUACCAUAUGAAGUCGCUAUGGGAUAUGACCUGGAAGUUUGUCCUGAGGGAUUUCGAAUUGAAGACUUUCGAGCGAAGUUGUGUUUCGCACAAUUUUUUUAAACCCUUCAUAACCCACUAGUCUAGUCUUUACUAUUGACUAUGCCGACUAGGAAUUGAUGGUAGUUAACUAUAUGACUUCAUCAGCACCUGAUGAGAAAUCAAAGCUGUUGGCUUCCGGGGGGAGUAUGGUCGCAAGGCUAAAACUUAAAGAAGUUGACGGAAAGGUACCACCAGGAGUGGGACCUGUGGUUUAAUUCGACUCAACACGGGGAAACUCACCAGGUCUGGACAUAGGUGAGGAUUGGCAGAUUGAGAGCUCUUUCUUGAUUCUAUGGGUGGUGGUGCAUGACCGUUGUUGGUUGGUGGAGUGAUUUGUCUGAUUGAUUCCGUUAACGAACGAGACAACCUACUGAAUAGUAUCGUGAAUUACUAUUUACGGCAUAAUACGUUGAGGGACUACCGGCUUAACCCGUUGGGAAUUUUGAGGCAAUAUCAUGUCUGUGAUGCCCUUAGAUGUUCUGGGUCGCGCGCGCGCUACACUGAUGAAGUCAACGAGUAUUUUCCUACACCGGAAGGUGUAUGUAAUGUUUUAAAACUUUAUCGUGCUGGGAAUAGAUGAUUGCAAUUAUUCACCUUUAAUGAGAUAUCUCUAGUAAGCGCAUGUCACCAGCAUGCGUUGAUUAUGUCCCUGCCCUUUGUACACACCAACCGUCGCUACUACCGAUUGAAUGGCUUAGUGAGGCCUCAGGAGGGAAUUUUGAUGGUGGCAACACCGACACUAAUUCUCGAAUUGGGAAAAACUUUAGUCCUAUAGAGGAGGUAUAUGUCGUAAAAAAAUAUUCCGUAGGUGAACCAGAGGAAGGAUCACUA